GACGAACGCUGGCGGCGUGCUUAACACAUGCAAGUCGAACGGAAAGGCCCUGCUUUUGUGGGGUGCUCGAGUGGCGAAAGGGUGAGUAACACGUGAGUAUCCUGCCCUUGACUUUGGGAUAACUUCAGGAAACUGGGGAUAAUACCGGAUAGGAGCUCCUGCUGCAUGGUGGGGGUUGGAAAGUUUCGGCGGUUGGGGAUGGACUCGCGGCUUAUCAGCGUGUUGGUGGGGUAGUGGAUUACCAAGGCUUGGACGGGUAGCCGGCCUGCGAGGGUGACCGGCCACAUUGGGACUGAGGUACGGGCCAGAGUGCUACGGGAGGCAGCAGUGGGGAAUAUUGCACAAUGGGCGGAAGCCGGAUACAGCAACGCCGCGUGCGGGAUGACGGCCUUCGGGUUAGAAACCGUUUUCGCCUGUGACGAAGCGUGAGUGACGGUAAUGGGUAAAGAAGCACCGGCUAACUACGUG
This 468-nucleotide ribosomal RNA is filed under the name uncultured bacterium. RNAcentral's name for it is "partial 16S ribosomal RNA". It matches the Rfam family "Bacterial small subunit ribosomal RNA", at positions 28 to 507 of the family's 1533-position model. The record is from RNAcentral.